Molecule: ribosomal RNA, 396 nt
Filed under: Triticum aestivum (bread wheat)
Lineage: Eukaryota; Viridiplantae; Streptophyta; Magnoliopsida; Poales; Poaceae
Description: partial small subunit ribosomal RNA
Source: RNAcentral
AUGUGGCGAAACUCGAAGCAACCAGCAGCCCUGGUAUGUGCAUGCACUCUGAUGAAACUUUGGUCACGUCUACGCGUACCCGUCUACAGACGCACGAAGCCACGAAUUUGGGAGCACCGGCGGCUUCGAUUGAUCGGAUCUCCGAUCUCGGCCGUGCCUCCGGUCCAUCGUACAUGGAUGGUCUCUACAUCGACUUCUUCUGUUUUGAGACUACACCAACAACGAUCUGUAACGCGCCGGCAAACUGCACCGAGCGAUCCCGAUCUGCAUCGACUACACUGCACGUGCACGGACGCGAUCUUCACCAGGCUGACUCCAUCAGCCACCUGCGCGCCGACAUGGCAUUUACAUCAAGCCGAACAACUACACCGACCGAUCUACACUGCAUCAAGGUAA